UUUUGUUUUAUGAAGUUUUAUGGUUAACUAGGAGAAAAAUAAGUAUCUAGGGUUGUUGACAUAUUUUGUUGAUUUUCGAGAUAAAUGCUAAUACCUCUCCAAUUGUUAUGGUAUUAGAAUUAGGGACAUGAUAAUCAUUGCUAACAAUUUCAUGAAUCGGAUAGAUAGUAGAUUGUGAUGUAACUCUGUUCUAUGUGUGUGUGAGAUACUACUUUGUUCCCUUAGUGUGCCCAGAUC
Molecule: long non-coding RNA, 237 nt
Filed under: Capsicum annuum
Lineage: Eukaryota; Viridiplantae; Streptophyta; Magnoliopsida; Solanales; Solanaceae
Description: long non-coding RNA (CANN_LNC019742)
Source: RNAcentral